This 376-nucleotide ribosomal RNA is filed under the name uncultured Pseudomonadota bacterium. RNAcentral describes it as "bacterial SSU rRNA". It matches the Rfam family "Bacterial small subunit ribosomal RNA", at positions 521 to 896 of the family's 1533-position model. Lineage: Bacteria; Pseudomonadati; Pseudomonadota. The record is from RNAcentral.
UAAUACGGAGGGUGCAAGCGUUGUUCGGAAUUACUGGGCGUAAAGGGAGCGUAGGCGGUUUAUCAAGUCUGGUGUGAAAUCCCGGGGCUCAACCCCGGACGUGCACUGGGAACUGGUGAACUUGAGUACUGGAGAGGGUGGUGGAAUUCCCGGUGUAGAGGUGAAAUUCGUAGAUAUCGGGAGGAACAUCAGUGGCGAAGGCGGCCACCUGGACAGAUACUGACGCUGAGGUUCGAAAGCGUGGGGAGCAAACAGGAUUAGAUACCCUGGUAGUCCACGCCGUAAACGUUGGGUGCUAGGUGUCGGGACAUUUCGCGUCCCGGUGCCGGAGCUAACGCAUUAAGCACCCCGCCUGGGGAGUACGGUCGCAAGAUUA